RNAcentral lists this ribosomal RNA (236 nucleotides) under uncultured bacterium. RNAcentral's name for it is "partial 16S ribosomal RNA". It matches the Rfam family "Bacterial small subunit ribosomal RNA", at positions 15 to 244 of the family's 1533-position model. The record is from RNAcentral.
GAUCAGGGCUCAGGAUGAACGCUAGCGGCAGGCUUAACACAUGCAAGUCGAGGGGCAGCAUAAUGGAUAGCAAUAUCUAUGGUGGCGACCGGCGCACGGGUGCGUAACGCGUAUGCAACCUACCUUUAACAGGGGGAUAACACUGAGAAAUUGGUACUAAUACCCCAUAAUAUCAUAGAAGGCAUCUUUUGUGGUUGAAAAUUCCGAUGGUUAGAGAUGGGCAUGCGUUGUAUUAG